GGAGACUGUGCAGGCUGAGGUAUGUAACUGCCAUGCACAAGGAGACUGCGCAGGCUUAGGUAUGUAACUGCCAUGCACCAGGAGACUGUGCAGGCUGAGGUAUGUAACUGCCAUGCACAAGGAGACUGUGCAGACUGAGGUAUGUAACUGCCAUGCACCAGGAGACUGUGCAGGCUGAGGUAUGUAACUGCCAUGCACCAGGAGACUGUGCAGGCUGAGGUAUGUAACUGCCAUGCACAAGGAGACUGUGCAGGCUGAGUUACAUAACCGUAAUGCACCAGGAGACUGCGCAAGCUGAGCUAUGUAACUGCCAUGCACCAGGAGACUGCAUGGACGGUACAGGCUGAGUUACAUUACAGUAAUGCACCAGGAGACUGUGCAGUCUGAGGUAUGGGGGCCAGUAGGCACUUACAUCCUUGGGCAAAUGGCAACUUAUUACUAGAGGAAACGAUUCAUGUACAAUAUUCCUUGUGGAAACGAAUGUUUCAUAUCUAACUUAUUCAAAAUGUGGUGAAUAAGCAGCAUAGAAUAAGAAAUUGUUCACAAAAAUACUAAUACCCAGUUGGCACAAAGAUCCAAAGGAAAAAAAUCACAUAUUACUGAAGAGAAAAAUUUAAAGACAAUACAGUAUUCCUUGUAAAAACCACUGUUUCAUGUUUUAA
Dreissena polymorpha is the source of this 662-nucleotide long non-coding RNA. RefSeq lists it as uncharacterized. The transcript is spliced from 3 exons. Lineage: Eukaryota; Metazoa; Mollusca; Bivalvia; Myida; Dreissenidae. The record is from RefSeq and is a predicted model, not a curated record.